Molecule: ribosomal RNA, 460 nt
Filed under: uncultured bacterium
Lineage: Bacteria
Description: partial 16S ribosomal RNA
Rfam family: Bacterial small subunit ribosomal RNA
Source: RNAcentral
CCUACGGGUGGCAGCAGUGAGGAAUAUUGGUCAAUGGGCGGAAGCCUGAACCAGCCAAGUCGCGUGAGGGAUGACGGUUCUGUGUAUCGUAAACCUCUUUUGUCAGGGAACAAAGUGCGCGACGUGUCCCGUUUUGUGUGUACCUUAUGAAUAAGUAUCGGCUAACUCCGUGCCAGCAGCCGCGGUAAUACGGAGGAUGCGAUCGUUAUCCGGAUUUAUUGGGUUUAAAGGGUGCGUAGGUGGGAUGUUAAGUCAGCGGGGAAAGUCAGUGGCUCAACCACGGGACUGCCGUUGAACCUGGCAGACGUGAGUAGGCGUGAGGUAGGCGGAAUGCGUGGUGUAGCGGUGAAAUGCAGAGAUAUCGCGCAGAACUCCGAUUGCGAAGGCAGCAUGCCGGGGCAAGACUGACGCUGAGGCACGAAAGCGUGGGGAUCGAACAGGAUUAGAUACCCGGGUAGUC